UUCGGAUAGGUCGAAAAGUUACAAUCGCAACACUCAGAACCUACAUGAAUAUGGUUACUGUAUAAUUCAUCCUUUUGACCCCUGUAGGAUGACUCAGGGUUAAACUGUCAACCCUGAUCAAAUCAUCCGAAUUGUGCUCAACUCAAACAGUCCUGUGACUCCUCACAAGGAAUACCCUGGCCAAGGUUUUGCUAAAUUGAAACAUGACUAUAUAUAGCUCCUAAACUGGAGUGGUCAAUCCCAUCUGGACACACGCACCGACAAGUCAAGUACUUGACUACACCCAGCAACCUUUCGUCACUGAAUUAGAAAUUCAGGUAGUCCAGUGCCUAAGUGCAGUGAGUUGCUUGCAAGUCACCAUUGUGGUCUCAGGUCGGAGGGACAUUUAUACCCAUAUUCCAUCGAAGCAAAUCUUGACAGCAGAAAUAGCUCC
This 433-nucleotide long non-coding RNA is filed under the name Elaeis guineensis (African oil palm). Its description in RNAcentral is "long non-coding RNA (EGUI_LNC059815)". The record is from RNAcentral. Lineage: Eukaryota; Viridiplantae; Streptophyta; Magnoliopsida; Arecales; Arecaceae.